UGCUGCACAAGUGGCUGUAGGACUUUCUUCAGCAAAGAUGGCGGACAGAAAUACUCAGAGGGGUACCCCUACACAGACCUGAAAUGGAUCAAAGAUGGCGGACAGAAAUACUAGGAUGGAAGCAAAUAGCAGCAGACUCCUCCUCUGGGACACGGCGGCGAGCUGCAGAUCCCCUCCUGGUCCUCGUGUCCAUCCUCAUGACGUUACGCAGGACACAGGUAGCCUUCACACACCUGAAUUCCUCCAGGAAGCAGUACCAGAUGACCCUGGUCACCCAACCUUGCAGUGCCCUACACGGUAACUGUCGGCAACCGUUUUGAAGGAACCUCCAGUUUGCUUAUUUAUAUUCAGUGGCCUGACUGCAUCCAGACUGUCAAAGGUCCGUCCUGGUAGAUCUGAACCUAAUGCAGUUUGGAGUGAUCAGAUGACAGGAGUCACAUUUAGGUGCCAGGUGUAACUGUAGAUUCUGUAUGCUGAGGCUGUAGAUGCUCCAUUUCCACUACUUUGAGUGUUGUAUGUACAUUAAAUCCAAUUUUAUUUGUCACAUACACAUGGUUAGCAGAUGUUAAUGCAAGUGUAGUGAGUUUUAGGAUUCUAUUGAAAGAAAAAUGAUUUUUUUUUUAAAUAAUACGAUUGUAUAUUAUUAUUUUGAAAUACGUGUUUUUUCUUGUUUUUAAUUGUUGACAGCCAGUAGACACCAAGUUUUUUUUGUUAAGUAAUACUCUUUCAAUUCAGAGCCUGGAUUUUCCCCUGAGGCUAAUAUCCAUAUCAUGCUGCAAUCAAUUGAACAAGGCAAACGAUAAGGUAGAACAUCAUUAAAAUACUCCUACUACAAUGUUAAAACAUUCUACAUUGCGACAUUAUUUCAUUGAUAUCCUGAAACAACUUCUUCAUGUAUGUAUUUUCUGAUGUUUGAUCAGAGGUCUUUUAUCAGAGUAUCUCUUGUCACAUUGAUCACAGCUAAAAGGUUUAUCUCCUGUGUGUUGUCUCUGGUGUACUGUCAGACCGCUAGAUGUCGUAAAACUCUGCCCACAUUGAUCACAGCUAUAAGAUUUCUCUCCUGUGUGUGUUCUCUGGUGUCCUGUCAGAUGGCAAGAUGUAGGAAAACUCCUCUCACAUUCAUCACAGCUAUAAGGUUUCUCUCCUGUGUGUUUUCUCUGGUGUACUGUCAGACCGCUAGAUGUAGUAAAACUCCUCCCACAUUUAUCACAGCUAAAAGGUUUCUCUCCUGUGUGUGUUCUCUGGUGUACUGUCAGAUAGCAAGAUGCAGGAAAACUCCUCCCACAUUGACCACAGCUGUAAAGUUUCUCUCCUGUGUGUUUUCUCUGGUGUAUUUUAAGUUCUGAUGAAGAUGAUCAACCUCCUCCUUCACAUCUGACUCCUGAUGAUCAACCUCCUCCUUCACAUCUGACUCCAGUGAUCAAUCCAGAGAGUCUUCUUUCUUGGGGUUAAAAUGAGUGGAAGGAGAUAAAUAAAAUGGUGCUGAUGCGGGAGAUGGGGGUAUGUUCUAGUGGGUCUGGGCAGGUGUGAUGGAGUUAAUGGAGAUGGGGGUGUGGUCUAGUGGGUCUGGGCAGGUGUGAUGUAGAUAAUGGAGAUGGGGGUGUGUUCUAGUGGGUCUGGGUAGGUUUGAUGUAGUUAAUGGAGAUGGGGGUGUGGUCUAGUGGGUCUGGGCAGGUGUGAUGUAGUUAAUGGAGAUGGGGGUGUGUUCUAGUGGGACUGGGCAGGUGUGAUGUAGUUAAUGGAGAUGGAGGUGUGUUCUAGUGGGUCUGGGCAAGUGUGAUGUAGUUCAUGGGGAUGGAGGUGUGUUCUAGUGGGUCUGAGCAGGUGUGGUGUAGUUAAUGGAGAUGGGGCUGUGUUUGAGUGGAUCUGGGCAGGUGUGAUGUAGUUAAUGGAGAUGGGGGUGUGGUCUAGUGGGUCUGAGCAGGUGUGAUGUAGUUAAUGGGGAUGGAGGUGUGUUCUAGUGGGUCUGAGCAGGUGUGGUGUAGUUAAUGGAGAUGGGGCUGUGUUUGAGUGGGUCUGGGCAGGUGUGAUGUAGUUAAUGGAGAUGGGGGUGUGUUCUCGUGGGUCUGGGCAGGUGUGAUGUAGUUAAUGGAGAUGGAGGUGUGUUCUCGUGGUUCUGUGCAGGUGUGAUGUAGUUAAUGGAGAUGGGGGUGUGUUCUCGUGGGUCUGGGCAAGUGUGAUGUAGUUCAU
Long non-coding RNA from Oncorhynchus kisutch (coho salmon), 2190 nucleotides. RefSeq lists it as uncharacterized. The record is from RefSeq and is a predicted model, not a curated record. The transcript has 2 exons. Lineage: Eukaryota; Metazoa; Chordata; Actinopteri; Salmoniformes; Salmonidae.